AACGUAGGACACGAGCGUUAUCCGGAGUUACUGGGCGUAAAGGGCGUUUAGGCGGGUGAUUAAGUUCGCUAUGAAAGCGCCGGGCUAAACCCGGCGAGGCUGGCGGAUACUGGUCAUCUGGAGUGAGGGGGAGGGAAGUAGAAUUCCGCGUGUAGUGGUGAAAUGCGUAGAGAUGCGGAGGAAUACCAGUGGCGAAGGCGACUUCCUGGCCCUCAACUGACGCUGAAGCGCGAAAGCAUGGGGAGCGAACGGGAUUAGAUACCCCAGUAGU
RNAcentral lists this ribosomal RNA (271 nucleotides) under uncultured bacterium. RNAcentral's name for it is "partial 16S ribosomal RNA". It matches the Rfam family "Bacterial small subunit ribosomal RNA", at positions 524 to 794 of the family's 1533-position model. The record is from RNAcentral.